This 68-nucleotide transfer RNA is filed under the name Oxyomus sylvestris. RNAcentral's name for it is "tRNA-Arg". Lineage: Eukaryota; Metazoa; Arthropoda; Insecta; Coleoptera; Scarabaeidae. The record is from RNAcentral.
AAAUAAGAAACAAUCUAUUGUAUUUAGUUUCGACCUAAAAGUUAGAUGAUACUCUUCAUCCUUAUUUA